ACCCGCACAAGCGGUGGAUGAUGUGGAUUAAUUCGAUGCAACGCGAAAACCUUUACCUACCCUUGACAUGUCCGGAAUCCCGAAGAGAUUUGGGAGUGCUCGCAAGAGAACCGGAGCACAGGUGCUGCAUGGCUGUCGUCAGCUCGUGUCGUGAGAUGUUGGGUUAAGUCCCGCAACGAGCGCAACCCUUGUCAUUAGUUGCCAUCAUUUGGUUGGGCACUCUAAUGAGACUGCCGGUGACAAACCGGAGGAAGGUGGGGAUGACGUCAAGUCCUCAUGGCCCUUAUGGGUAGGGCUUCACACGUCAUACAAUGGUCGGUACAGAGGGUUGCCAACCCGCGAGGGGGAGCUAAUCCCACAAAGCCGAUCGUAGUCCGGAUCGCAGUCUGCAACUCGACUGCGUGAAGUCGGAAUCGCUAGUAAUCGUGGAUCAGCAUGUCACGGUGAAUACGUUCCCGGGUCUU
Molecule: ribosomal RNA, 464 nt
Filed under: uncultured Rhodocyclaceae bacterium
Lineage: Bacteria; Pseudomonadati; Pseudomonadota; Betaproteobacteria; Rhodocyclales; Rhodocyclaceae
Description: bacterial SSU rRNA
Rfam family: Bacterial small subunit ribosomal RNA
Source: RNAcentral